RNAcentral lists this ribosomal RNA (434 nucleotides) under uncultured Lachnospiraceae bacterium. RNAcentral describes it as "partial 16S ribosomal RNA". It matches the Rfam family "Bacterial small subunit ribosomal RNA", at positions 341 to 792 of the family's 1533-position model. The record is from RNAcentral. Lineage: Bacteria; Bacillati; Bacillota; Clostridia; Lachnospirales; Lachnospiraceae.
ACGGAAGGCAGCAGUGGGGAAUAUUGCACAAUGGGGGAAACCCUGAUGCAGCGACGCCGCGUGAGUGAAGAAGUUAUUCGUAAUGUAAAGCUCUAUCAGCAGGGAAGAAAAUGACGGUACCUGACUAAGAAGCCCCGGCUAACUACGUGCCAGCAGCCGCGGUAAUACGUAGGGGGCAAGCGUUAUCCGGAUUUACUGGGUGUAAAGGGAGCGUAGACGGCUUUGCAAGUCUGAAGUGAAAGCCCGGGGCUCAACCCCGGAACUGCUUUGGAAACUGUAGAGCUAGAGUGCAGGAGAGGUAAGUGGAAUUCCUAGUGUAGCGGUGAAAUGCGUAGAUAUUAGGAGGAACACCAGUGGCGAAGGCGGCUUACUGGACUGUAACUGACGUUGAGGCUCGAAGGCGUGGGGAGCAAACAGGAUUAGAUACCCUGGUA